ACGAACGCUGGCGGCGUGCUUAACACAUGCAAGUCGAACGGAAAGGCCCUGCUUGCAGGGUACUCGAGUGGCGAACGGGUGAGUAACACGUGGGUGAUCUGCCCUGCACUUCGGGAUAAGCCUGGGAAACUGGGUCUAAUACCGGAUAGGAGCCAUUUUUAGUGUGAUGGUUGGAAAGUUUUUUCGGUGUAGGAUGAGCUCGCGGCCUAUCAGCUUGUUGGUGGGGUAAUGGCCUACCAAGGCGGCGACGGGUAGCCGGCCUGAGCGGGUGGACGGCCACAUUGGGACUGAGAUACGGCCCAGACUCCUACGGGAGGCAGAAGUGGGGAAUAUUGCACAAUGGGCGCAAGCCUGAUGCAGCGACGCCGCGUGGGGGAUGACGGCCUUCGGGUUGAAAACUCCUUUCGCUAGGGACGAAGCUUUUUGUGACGGUACCUAGAUAAGAAGCACCGGCUAACUACGUG
RNAcentral lists this ribosomal RNA (464 nucleotides) under uncultured bacterium. Its description in RNAcentral is "partial 16S ribosomal RNA". It matches the Rfam family "Bacterial small subunit ribosomal RNA", at positions 29 to 507 of the family's 1533-position model. The record is from RNAcentral.